UACGAAGGGGGCUAGCGUUGCUCGGAAUUACUGGGCGUAAAGGGCGCGUAGGCGGAUAGUUUAGUCAGAGGUAAAAGCCCAGGGCUCAACCUUGGAACUGCCUUUGAUACUGGCUAUCUUGAGUACGGGAGAGGUGUGUGGAACUCCGAGUGUAGAGGUGAAAUUCGUAGAUAUUCGGAAGAACACCAGUGGCGAAGGCGACACACUGGCCCGUUACUGACACUGAGGCACGAAGGCCAGGGGAGCAAACGGG
RNAcentral lists this ribosomal RNA (253 nucleotides) under uncultured bacterium. Its description in RNAcentral is "partial 16S ribosomal RNA". It matches the Rfam family "Bacterial small subunit ribosomal RNA", at positions 524 to 776 of the family's 1533-position model. The record is from RNAcentral.